Molecule: non-coding RNA, 23 nt
Filed under: Arabidopsis thaliana (thale cress)
Lineage: Eukaryota; Viridiplantae; Streptophyta; Magnoliopsida; Brassicales; Brassicaceae
Source: RNAcentral
UUCGGGUAUCCAAGCUUGCUUGC